AUUGAACGCUGGCGGCAGGCCUAACACAUGCAAGUCGAGCGGAUGAAGGGAGCUUGCUCCUGGAUUCAGCGGCGGACGGGUGAGUAAUGCCUAGGAAUCUGCCUGGUAGUGGGGGAUAACGUCCGGAAACGGGCGCUAAUACCGCAUACGUCCUGAGGGAGAAAGUGGGGGAUCUUCGGACUUCACGCUAUCAGAUGAGCCUAGGUCGGAUUAGCUAGUUGGUGGGGUAAAGGCCUACCAAGGCGACGAUCCGUAACUGGUCUGAGAGGAUGAUCAGUCACCCUGGAACUGAGACACGGUCCAGACUCCUACGGGAGGCCGCAGUGGGGAAUAUUGGACAAUGGGCGAAAGCCUGAUCCAGCCAUGCCGCGUGUGUGAAGAAGGUCUUCGGAUUGUAAAGCACUUUAAGUUGGGAGGAAGGGCAGUAAGUUAAUACCUUGCUGUUUUGACGUUACCAACAGAAUAAGCACCGGCUAACUUCGUG
This 484-nucleotide ribosomal RNA is filed under the name uncultured bacterium. RNAcentral describes it as "partial 16S ribosomal RNA". It matches the Rfam family "Bacterial small subunit ribosomal RNA", at positions 30 to 507 of the family's 1533-position model. The record is from RNAcentral.